Molecule: ribosomal RNA, 689 nt
Filed under: uncultured Gammaproteobacteria bacterium
Lineage: Bacteria; Pseudomonadati; Pseudomonadota; Gammaproteobacteria
Description: bacterial SSU rRNA
Rfam family: Bacterial small subunit ribosomal RNA
Source: RNAcentral
GANUCUGCCCUGUAGUGGGGGACAACGUGGGGAAACCCACGCUAAUACCGCAUACGCCCCAAGGGGGAAAGCGGGGGACCGCAAGGCCUCGCGCUAUAGGAUGAGCCUGCGUUGGAUUAGCUAGUUGGUAGGGUAAAGGCCUACCAAGGCGACGAUCCAUAGCUGGUCUGAGAGGACGAUCAGCCACACUGGGACUGAGACACGGCCCAGACUCCUACGGGAGGCAGCAGUGGGGAAUAUUGGACAAUGGGCGCAAGCCUGAUCCAGCAAUACCGCGUGUGUGAAGAAGGCCUGAGGGUUGUAAAGCACUUUCAAUGGGGAGGAAAAAGGUAGGUUUAAUACGUCUGCCCUUGACAUUACCCAUAGAAGAAGCACCGGCUAACUCCGUGCCAGCAGCCGCGGUAAUACGGAGGGUGCGAGCGUUAAUCGGAAUUACUGGGCGUAAAGCGUGCGUANGCGGCCCGUUAAGUCAGAUGUGAAAGCCCUGGGCUCAACCUGGGAACUGCAUUUGAAACUGGCGGGCUAGAGUUAGGUAGAGGGGGGCGGAAAUUUCAGGUGUAGCGGUGAAAUGCGUAGAUAUCUGAANNGAACACCAGUGGCGAAGGCGGCUCCCUGGACCCAAAACUGACGCUGAGGUACGAAAGCGUGGGUAGCAAACAGGNAUUAGAUACCCUGGUAGUCCACGCCGU